CUGCUCACUUAGGCAGCACAUAUGCUAAAAUUGGAACUAUACAGAGAAGAUUAGCAUGGUCCCUGCACAAGGAUGACAUGCAAAUUCAUGAAGCAUUCCAUAUUUUU
Callithrix jacchus (white-tufted-ear marmoset) is the source of this 107-nucleotide small nuclear RNA. The record is from Ensembl. Lineage: Eukaryota; Metazoa; Chordata; Mammalia; Primates; Cebidae.